Molecule: RNA transcript, 2019 nt
Organism: Elgaria multicarinata webbii
Lineage: Eukaryota; Metazoa; Chordata; Lepidosauria; Squamata; Anguidae
Gene: C3AR1
Gene name: complement C3a receptor 1
Exons: 3
Source: RefSeq, a predicted model, not a curated record
CAGGACUCUUCCUUAUGAACAAAUGAUGUGUAGGGCAGCAGACUGGGAGUAGAGAGUGGUGGAACUUGACACUGGAAUAUAGGGUCAGGUGUUGUUGUCUUAGGAAGAUGCCUCCAUUCCUGGCUAAUGAGAGUUUUAAUAGCUCUGUUGAGCCCUUCAUGUUCGAACGUACCCCCACAUCUAUCAGUUCUCUGACUGUCUUCUCCCUCACCUUCCUCCUGGGUCUGCCUGGAAAUGGCCUGGUGAUAUGGGUAACCACCCUGAAAAUGAAGCGAACAGUGAACACCACUUGGUUUCUCCACCUUGCGGUGGCUGACUUCCUGUGCUGCCUGUCCCUGCCUUUUUACAUUGUUCAUCUGGCUCUCCAUGAGCACUGGCCUUAUGGUUGGUUUUUCUGCAAGAUUAUUCCAACAACCAUUAUUUUCAACAUGUUUGCCAGUGUCUUUCUCCUCACCACCAUCAGUAUUGACAGAUGUCUGGUGGUGAUGAAGCCUGUCUGGUGUCAGAAUCACCGAACAGUAAGGUUCACUGCCAUGAUAUGUGGUGGCAUCUGGCUCUUAGCCUUCAUUAUGUGUUGUCCUGCCUUCUUCUACCGUGAGACCUCCAUGGAUGAAUUUGGCAACACCAAAUGUGUCUACAAUUGGCACGGUGAGGAAUAUGCAGAGGACAACUGGCCAGCGGACGCAUUUUCCGGCAACUAUGAGUCUUUUAUUCCAUACCCUUCUCCCAUGGAUAGUGGAAUCUAUGAGGACAACAUCACAUAUGGAAUUCUGGAUAUGUAUCUGGAGUAUCCUAUUCUGAACACUGAAAAAAGCAAGUUUCUGCAUUCUAGCAUAUCAAAUAAUCACAGCAUCAGUAAAGUUACAGAUUCGUCAGUGACAGCCAUCACGCAUCCUACACCAAUAUUGCAUGAACUUCCCAGAAUCUAUCAGAAUCUAUCCAAUAUUCUUCAUUCAGAUGUUCCUCCUGGCAUUUAUUCUGAGACCCUCUUUUUGAGUAAUGAUUCAACAGAAAUGUACUUUUAUGAUUUCUCUGAAAUCCAACCACCAAGUGUCCUUUUGUCCAUUACCAUUACCAGAAGCGUCUUUGGUUUCCUUCUCCCCUUUGGAAUCAUGGUGACCUGUUAUGCACUUAUUGCUCACAAGAUGCUCAAAAACCAAUUUGCUAAGCCCCGCAGGAAGGCUCUACAGAUUAUCCUGCUUGUGAUAGCUGCUUUUUUCCUCUGCUGGGCUCCUUACCAUGUAAUUGGGGCGCUGUACAUCCUGGCUUCCCCAGGCACAGAAUUUCAUGAAAAGCUGGUUUUGUGGGACCACAUUUCCACAGCACUGGCCUAUGCCAACAGCUGCAUCAACCCACUUCUUUAUGUGUUCGUGGGUCGAAGUUUCAGAGAAAAAGCACACCAGACAGUGCAAGGGAUUUUUGAAGGGGCUUUCCGUGAGGAAGCUACAUGCUCCACAGCCUACACUCAGGACAGAAGCAGGUCUAUCAUUGACAAUGAUAUUGAUGUUUCAGUACUCUAAAAUGGAUCUUCUAGACAACAGAAAUUCUGUUUCAGUCUUCUGAAUUCCUGAUUUAGUGCAGCAAUACAGAUGUGAACAAUCUGGAUUAUGAUCUAUAGCUCUUGUAUAUAUGGAGGACACCUUGAACAUCUCACAUCUGCUUUGAAGGAGGCGUGGCCAAAGAUGGGAGAGUGGAGCUAAAUGGGCAUGGCUAGAGCGGUGUUGUGUAUUUGAAACCAGUACCUGAAGAGUUUUGUUCUACUUACGCCACUGGGUAGGACAUGACUAACACGAACACAGAAUUGGACUUGCACAACUAUGAGCGUCAUGUUUCAUGUAACACCACUGAGGACUCCAUUAACAGGUAUGUUUUUCCAGUGCACAUAUCUUGGAGUAGGGGCUACCCAGUUAUUGGAUGCCUUCCUGCUACAAAUUCACCAAGGCCUGAGCAUUGUUCAGAAGAGUUGCAAGACCUACAUUUUCGUACUUAGCUUUGGGGCAGAGGGUUACGCCAGGAAGA